UACGUAGGGUGCAAGCGUUGUCCGGAAUUAUUGGGCGUAAAGAGCUCGUAGGCGGUCUGUCGCGUCGAAUGUGAAAACCCGGGGCUCAACCCCGGGCCUGCAUUCGAUACGGGCAGACUAGAGUUCGGUAGGGGAGUCUGGAAUUCCUGGUGUAGCGGUGAAAUGCGCAGAUAUCAGGAGGAACACCAAUUGCGAAGGCAGCUCGCUGGAACGUUACUGACGCUGAGGCGCGAAAAGCGUGGGGGAGCAAACAGG
Molecule: ribosomal RNA, 255 nt
Filed under: uncultured bacterium
Lineage: Bacteria
Description: partial 16S ribosomal RNA
Rfam family: Bacterial small subunit ribosomal RNA
Source: RNAcentral